Molecule: non-coding RNA, 2405 nt
Organism: Cyanistes caeruleus (blue tit)
Lineage: Eukaryota; Metazoa; Chordata; Aves; Passeriformes; Paridae
Source: RefSeq, a predicted model, not a curated record
AGCUUCUGACAUGUUGUCAUUCAGUGCUGGAUGUCAGCCAGUUCUCCAUCAGGCUGCAUGUAAAAUCUUGUUUGUCCUCCCAUUGAGCUGCUUUUUCUCACUGCAGAAAAGCUACUCUGGAUCUACCAGAAUGAAAGUGCCAAGUACUCAGCUUGAAAUGGAGAGUGGAAGAUACUGUUAGCCAGCAUUUUUCACCUGUGGAAGAAGAUGAAGUUCUAUCAAAGCGGAACAACCCUCUUCUUGGUCCGUAGUGUUAUCCCAAAACAUUUACCCACUUCUGAUAUUUCAGGAGAAACAAUAAACUCAUGUUUGGUGUAGGGAGAAUGGCAGCUCAGAAAGUGCCAUGGUAACAUGUCCAUGAAUCCAGGGUAGCUGCCUUGGUGUUUGCUGUAACUUGUUCCAGGAAGCUGGGAUCACACUGGGAGUGGGACUCUUGCGUGACAAUGGCGAUUUACACCUCUGAACCUGUGCCAGUGUGGAGCAGAGUUAAAUUCCUAAAAGACGGCCGGCAUGUCCAUGCCCCAAAGUCAGACAUGAUUUGUCUUUGAGACUUGCCAGAGACUGUCUUCAGCAAAGGAAGAACCAGCUGAUUGGAGACACAGAAGCACACUUCAGCAGAGGAAAUUGUAUCCUUUUCACAUCUGAAGUUUGAAACAUCUGUGUGGGGGCAUGAACACCUGUGGGAGUAGUGGUUUUCCAGGUCUGUCUCCUAAGAAGGAAUUUGGAAUCAUUGAAUUGAGGUAGGUUGCAGCCCUGUUAUCUUUAGGGUCUCAUCAUUUGCAGUCCACCUAGCAAAACUGCUACAGAACUUUGUUUCCAUUAGCCUGAGGGCACUUGGAGGGAUAGCUAAAUUUUGGAUGACAGUUUGUAAGUUUAUUUUGAUACUUUGAAGGAGAAAAAUAAAAUGGGUAGUAGCAAUAUUAUUUAUGAGAGAAUUUGGUUCCUAGGCUUUGCUUUCCCUGCAGGCCUUAAAAUGGGCAGCACUGGGAGACUUCUGCUGCAUAAAGGGGACAUCAGCUGUUUGUCACUUUCUCGCUCUUUCCUGUUCAUGUAAAUGAGCAAUGACUACUGCAAAUGAUGGUGAGAGCUGGAGACAGCCUUCUGCCUCUUCAGUGACAUUUUCUCUUAGAAAAAAACCCAUAUGAAAUGAAAUUCAAAACGGAUCAUGCUAAAAUGCUGUAGACAACUUGCUAAAUCUUCAUUCAGGCAAUUCCUGUGAGCUUUUCUGUCAUUUGAUAGUCGUAUGGCUCUGUCACUGAAAAGUUUUUGAUGUUUUGUAAAGGUUUCCAGUGCCCUUGGCAUUUCAGAGGGGAUAUUUGUGCAACUGCUACUUGCUUCCCCUUCAGGGAGAUGAACGUCACAGCCUGCCCACAUUCCCCAGGAGUCUUCACUCAGUGAUGAGUGCUGUUACUGUAACAGCUGAAGUCAGCACAACUCUGAAGUAAUGUCAUGAAUCACAAAAUAAGUAUCUCCUCUCUUUGCCAAUGCAAACUCUGGGGUUUUCUGCCUCUUUCUAGAAGUGCCAGUGCUCCCUGACUCUGCACAGGUGAGAACAGGCACAACAUAAGAAUCUUAGACAAAGCUUGGCUUCUCAGCCUUCUUAACCUUAGUAUGCAUUUAAUGCUAUUAACGGUAACAUCCUUCUUAAAUAUUUAAUACACUUCCUGGAGGCUUUUCUUUUCUGAUUUCAUACCUGUUUAUCCAGCUCUUCUUCCUGCCACUGGAAGCAAACAUUCCCCAGCAAGCAACCCUUGCCCCUGUGCCACAUCCCCUUAGAUAGCAGCAGUGCUCCCUCUGCAGCCGGCACUCACAGCUGGCUGCCAGGACAGCCCUUGCAGCUGACCCCGACAGAGCCCAGCGGGGAAAAGCCCUUACAAAUUCAACCCAGAGCUGAAAGGCAAGGCUGACUUCCCCUGGACAGUCUUUCAUUUGCAGUGAAGAUAGGCACAUUGGCCAGUAUUUCUGGUGGAGCUGCAUAAACUAGGACAUGGACUAAGGAAAGGCUGCAUCUUCCAGCUUAACUAAAACAAAACACAGCCCUACCUCAGUUUAGCUGCAAGAGCCAGCAGGAGUUCUCACCUUCCUCAAGUGCUUUACUGCUUUUGAGCUUGAAUUUCUAUCCCUGAACUUUGAGUUAAUCAGUAGCAAAUUUUGAGGUUUCCUGUAUUUCACAAAAGUGUUUUCCAACAAUUACUGCUUCCAACAAGGCAUCUGUUUAUAUGUUGACAUAAAAAAUGUGUUUUCUUUUUCUUGUUCCCUUGGCUGCAGCUGGUUAGUUCAUUUGGGAUUACAAUGGUAGCACAGUAGGACUUUGUUUGUCUUUUCCUUGCAUGAAAUUUUGUUGAAAGUGUGAACUGUAAAAGGCAUUGAAAUGACACAAAGUAAAAUCCAUUUUCUAAAUGAAA